AUAAUUUAGCGAAAUGGUUGUAUGGCAAGUUAUCGGUUAAAAUCUACUAAAGGGAAUUGCUCUCAGAUAAGAAAAAUAAUAAAAAGAGAUAUUUCUUAGUCAUUAAGAAUUGCACAACGCAUCCUUAAUGUCUAUUAUAUAAUAAUUGCAGAUAAAAAACAUUUUAUCAAUCACCCUGUAAUGAACUAGUAAUGGAUAUGCUACACCUGUGUAAAGAAAACUAACUAUCCUAAUUAUAUUUUAUUUUUAACACUUGUUUUUUUUUCAAGGUUCUUCAUUGUCUGCCUAACAGGGAUUAUUGUUAUCAAGGUUCCAAAUUUUGGUGAGCUGAUGGCACUGGUUGGUGCUUCUUCCUGCACACUACUGGCAUUUAUCCUACCAGCUGUCUGUCAUCUCAUCAUUUUCAGGUCGGAGCUGAGCAGCUACGACAAGGUGUUCAACUACACCCUCAUUGUCCUCGGCAUAUCUGGGGCUGUGGUCGGAACUGUGGACACUGUGCUCAAUGCAAAACAUUGAAUUUGGGAACAGUGUAUUUUUACUAAUUUAUUAUAGCAAUCCUAGGUAUUUUGGGAUUAAAAUUUUUUAACGCAAUUUUUGUGCGUUAAACAUGCAUUUUUAAAAAGUAUUUAAACAGAAGAUAACAUUCCACUUGACUGAUGAUCAGUUUUAUUUUUAUAUUUACAUAAUUAUGGUUUUAAACGGAAUAAAAAGAAAACAGAUUUAUUUAUUAAUUUUGCAGAGAUAUGAAACAUAUUUAUAGCUUUGCUGUAAUUGCUGAAAUGUAUUGAAAACCUAAUUUUUAAAUCAUGUAAAAAGUGCUCGAAUUCAGAUAAAUUUAUCAGUUCGUGAAGAAAAUGUGUCAAAAGUGAAAUAAUUGUGGCCAGAAUUUGUUAAUAUGUUAAUUGUAUAUUGUUUUACCAGUGUUAAUAUGCUUUGUGUGAUAAAUGUACAAGAAUAUGUAAACACUUGCAUAAUACUUCCCUCAGUGCUACGAUUAAUCAAAUAAGCAAAAUACCCAUCGAAUUUAGUGCCUCUUACAUAUAUUAUAUAUAUUUUUAUAUCUAUCAAACUGGUGUUUAGUGUUUAAUACAUUUUUCUUGGCCUUGUCUUCCUUGCUCAAACUUUUUGUUAUACAAAAAAUAUAUAUUUAUACAUUCAA
This is a long non-coding RNA of Eurytemora carolleeae, 1159 nucleotides long. RefSeq lists it as uncharacterized. NCBI's taxonomy places the organism in Eukaryota, Metazoa, Arthropoda, Copepoda, Calanoida, Temoridae. The transcript has 3 exons. The record is from RefSeq and is a predicted model, not a curated record.